UACGGGGGGGGCAAGCGUUGUUCGGAAUUACUGGGCGUAAAGGGCUCGUAGGUGGCCAACUAAGUCAGACGUGAAAUCCCUCAGCUUAACUGGGGAACGGCGUCUGAUACUGGAUGGCUUGAGAUUGGGAGAGGGAUGCGGAAUUCCAGGUGUAGCGGUGAAAUGCGUAGAUAUCAGGAGGAACACCGGUGGCGAAGGCGGGUCUCUGGGCCGUAACUGACGCUGAGGAGCGAAAGCAUGGGGAGCGAACAGG
RNAcentral lists this ribosomal RNA (253 nucleotides) under uncultured bacterium. RNAcentral's name for it is "partial 16S ribosomal RNA". It matches the Rfam family "Bacterial small subunit ribosomal RNA", at positions 524 to 776 of the family's 1533-position model. The record is from RNAcentral.